CACACACAAGUUUUGGACAAUAAGAGAAAAAAGAAUGAAAGAAAAAGGGGAAAAUAAUAGACCCAGCCAGUAGUGACACAUCAGGGAGUGCCGUUACAAAGGCAAGACUCCCGACCGACCGACAACUCAACUCAACCGCCCGCCCUGGCAGGCUGGCAGGUCCACGACCCUCACUUCUUCCCCUGCUGCUGCAGGACCGUCAAGGAGACCAUUGGGCACCUCCUGCUGCUGCUGCAGGACCGUCAAGAAGACCAUUGAGCACCUCCUGCUGCUGCUGCAGGACCGUCAAGGAGACCAUUGAGCACCUCCUGCUGCUGCUGCUGCACUGCCCCGCCUCCACUCCCAGCCACGACACCAACUCCCUCCCUCCCUGGACGUGGCGGCCACCUUGGACCUGGCGGCGGCAGGCGUCCACCCCUCACAGCAGGAAGCAGCAGCCACCCGCCCCACCUGUGCCUUCCUCAGGAAGACGGGACAGCCUGUGAGGCCCUCACAGGACGACACCAGGGCUCAUGUGAGCGACUAGUGGCCGCGGCACAUAACAACAACAACAACAACAACAACAACAACAACAACACUGCCUAACAGCCCCCUAGAACACCCCAGAAGAAGAACAAAGUCUACUGCUUAACAGCCCCCUAGAACACCCCAGAAGAAGAACAAAGUCUACUGCUUAACAGCCCCCUAGAACACCCCAGAAGAAGAAGCAUGAGUACCCAGGACAAGCAGGAGCAGACUGCUGCAGGGGGCAGGAGGGUCAGUGGUCACCAGAUGAAGCAACUUGCUGCUGGCAACUCCAGUAACAAAGGAGAGAGGAAGUUUGUGUGUCUGGAGUGUGGAAAAGAAUUCACCAGAAGGGAAGGCCUCGGAUAUCACACCCUUAUUCACACUGGUGUGAAGAACUAUGAAUGUAAGGAAUGUGGGAAAAAAUUCAUCAAGAAGAGUAACCUUGAUAGACACACCCUUACACACACUGGUGUGAAGAACUAUGAAUGUAAGGAAUGUGGGAAAAAAUUCAUCCUGAAGGGUAACCUUGAUAGACACACCCUUACACACACUGGUGUGAAGAACUAUGAAUGUAAGGAAUGUGGGAAAAAAUUCAUCCGGAAGAGUGACCUUGAUAGACACAUCUUUACAUAUGCUGGUGUGAAGAACUAUGAAUGUAAGGAAUGUGGGAAAACAUUCAGCCGGAAGAGUCACCUUGAUGAACACACCCUUACACACACAGGUGUAAAAAGUCAUGAGUGUGAAGAGUGCGGGAAGAGGUUCAGUGUGAAGCAGGCACUCAAUCGACACAUCUUCAGGCACUAUGGCCUUAGAGAGGUCAAGUGUGAUGUUUGUGGAAAGCUCUUUAAGACAAGGGGUGACAUUGCCAGGCACAUGAAGACCCACUUCUGAAGUGUGUCUGGCUACAGUAGUUAUAGUGACCAGGGUGUUAGCAGCAGCUGAGCCUGAUAGGGAAAGGGAAGUGAAGGAGAGGUAAAAGUGAUCUUGUAAGACAAGGAAGAAAGAAGGCUUGCCUGUGAAGUGAUAAAAGGAGAGGAGCCACAGCAAGAAGAGGAAGGGAAAUACUGAUGGCUGACUUUCCACAGCUGUGGCAGCUGCACCUGGGCCUGGAGCCUGGUUGAGUCUCACAGCUACAGUGAAUUACUUACUCCUCUGUGAGAGCGUGUGAAGCAGUUUGCCAACCUGGUCCUGGCCCUCAUGAUGCUGUUCGCCAGGUAUAAUCACUGGAUGGUGGGCGACAAGUUUGAGAGACUCGCCCCCUCACUGGUGUUCUUCUUCAUGCUAACCUGCUGGCUCAUCGUUGAGUACCAAAUCCACCGGAAGGAGAAGAUGGACAAGGCGGCGGCAGCGGCCAAGAAGUCACCCACCGUAGCUGCCGAAGGGAAGGACGGAGGAACAGCCGUCAAUUCCAUUGCUGGCGGCUCCACAUCUACUCUCUUCUUCUCCUCCUCCGCCUCCUCAGUUGCCUCCGCCUCCUCCUCUUCGCCCUCCUCCUCCUCCUCUCAACAUGGACAGUUGAAGAAGGAUGUUUAUUGUGGAGGUGUUUGAUUGAGGUAUGUGGUUCGGUGCUUUUAUUUUCGUUUGUGUGUGUAUUUACCUAGUUGUAUUUACCAACAGUAGAGCCCCAUUUAGCGCGAGAAUUAGGUGUAUGAACGUGGUCGCGCUAACUGAAUUCGCGCUAAUUGAAUAAAGUAACCAAUAUGAAAAAAAUUAUUUGGUUGUCUUGUCUUGUCUUGUCGAUGAUUUACCCCUCAGAAGGGGAAUGGGCCCUUGUCUAAUACAGUGAAUUAUUUGGUGCACACGUGGGUCUGACUUUUGGGUUUGAUAAUUACUCAAAACAAUCACUCACAUUAAAAAAAAAAACUACGAUUGGCUGAGCUCUGAAAACACGCUUGUGAUUCGCUGGGAGUCUGAUGACGUCAUUGCCGGCGCUCACCCAGUCAGUGGCCUUGCUGCCUUAAGGCAGUAUCACACUUGGACAACCGGCAAAUCCAAAUUUUCCGGGUGUGCAUCACACACAGCCAAGGUCAGUUGCCUGUAUCCACAUCCACAACGUAAACAAAGCACUUGCCCUGUAUCAACAUGGCGUCAUCUGCUAAAGUAAGGGCUCUCACGGCUUAUGCCGCGCAUCAUGGCGGCUUGUGCUGCGCAUCAUGGUGGCUUGUUCCGCGCAUCAUGGCAGCACAAUUAUUGGCAUGUUAUUUCACUGUGGUGGCUGCUCACGCUAACUAAGGCUUUCACACUAAUUAUUUUUUUCUUGGUAGAUGGUGGCUCACGCUAAUUGUGGUUUGCGCUAAUUGAUCUCGCGAUAAGUGGGGCUCUUUUGUACUUGUGACAUACGGGAAAAGAGCUACGCUCGCGCUGUCCCGUCUCCAUAUCCGCUGUUGUCCAACUUUUCCUUAAAAUCAUGAAUGUUUCUUGCACAAACCACCUCCUCCUCCAGCCUAUUCCAUAGCUCUAUGCUUUUGUUUGGGAAGCUAAACUUUUUCACAUCUCCCUUACACGUGGUCGCCCUCAACUUCUUUCCAUGUCCUCUUGUUUCUCUCUUGUUCCACACACACAGGUCCUCUCUGUCCAAAUGCUCCACCCCGUUCGCCACCCUGUACACCACUAUCAGGUCUCCUCUUUCUCUUCUUCUCUCCAGGGUUGUGAGCCCCAUGCUAUUGAGUCUCUCCUCAUAAGUCUGGUCCCUAAGUUCCAGUACCAUCUUAGUUGCCACUUUCUACACUCUUUCCAGCUUUCUUAAGUUCUUUUUGUGAGGAGACCAGACCACUGCUGCAUACUCCAACCUUGGCCUUAUCAUUGUAACUUAUUAUUUUCUUCAUCAUCUCCUCAUCCAAAUACACAAAUGCCGUCCUUAUGUUCCUCAGCAAAUUCAUAGUUUGUCCCGUUAUCCAGUUGAUGUGUUUGUCCGGUGACAUGUUCUCUGAGACAGUCACUCCCAAAUCUUUUUCUUCCACUCCUCGGCAUAUUAUUUCACUUCCCAUCUUAUAAUCAUAUUCACAUCUUCUGCUCCUUCCAAACUCCAUUUUUUUACAUUUCCCAAUACGUAAUGUUACAUCUACAUAAGGAUGAGAAAUGAGCAUAACAGUGAGUGUGUGUGUGUGUUUGCUACCCUUCCCUCCCUCCCUCGCCCCAAUGUUUGUCUCUGUAGGUGUGUGUAGGCGAUAAGACGACCUUUCAACACACCUUUUUUCUUUCCUUUAUUCUUUCCCUCUUUACGACUUUAUUGUAAGUAUACGUAACCUUAAACUAAUGAAAUACAUGUUACGUGAACCCUACCCUCAAGAUGUUACUUUUAUCUCUGUAUGUAUAGGGAAGAUUACAUCUCUUAAACUAACGAUAUAUGUUACGUCAACCUUAACCUGCGAGAUGUUUGUAUAAGUAACCUCAAUUCACUCUUCGUAUGUUUGUGUAAGUAACCUCAAUUCACUCUUCGUAUGUUUGUGUAAGUAACCUCAAUUCACUCUUCGUAUGUUUGUAUAAGUAACCUCAAUUCACUCUUCGUAUGUUUGUAUAAGUAACCUCAAUUCACUCGUAUGCUUGUAUAAGUAACCUCAAUUCACUCGUAUGCUUGUAUAAGUAACCUCAAUUCACUCGGAUGUUUGUAUAAGUAACCCCAAUUCAUUUCAUGUGUCGUAUGUUACUUUGAUCUGUACGUAUAGGGAAGAUUACGUCAUUUAAACUAGCAAAAUAUAAGUUACGCCAACCUUACCUACGAGGUGUUUGUGUAAGUAACCUCAGUUUACUUGUAUGUCGUAUGUUAAUUUGAUCUCUGUACGUCGAGGCAAGAUUUCGGCAACUUGGCACUCACUGUUAUGCUCAUUUCUCGUCUUUAUGUAGAUGUAACAUUACGAUCCAUGUUAUACUGAAGUUACUGUGUCAUCCCUAACAUUACGUAUAUGUCACUUUGGUUACUAAGUCUUGUUAACAUUACUAACCAUUAUAUUUAAGUUACUGUGUCAUCCCUAACAUUACGUAUAUGUCACUUUGGUUACUAAGUCUUGUUAACAUUACUAACCAUUAUAUUUAAGUUACUGUGUCAUCCCUAACAUUACGUAUAUGUCGCUUUGGUUACUAAGUCUUGUUAACAUUACUAACCAUUAUAUUUAAGUUACUGUGUGAUCCCUAACAUUACGUAUAUGUCACUUUGGUUACUAAGUCUUGUUAACAUUACUAACCAUUAUAUUUAAGUUACUGUGUGAUCCUUAACAUUACGUAUAUGUCACUCUGGUUACUAAGUCUUGUUAACAUUACGUAUCCAUUAUAUUUACUGUGUCAUCCCUAACAUUACGUAUAUGUCACUCUGGUUACUCAGUCUUGUUAACAUUACUAACCAUUAUAUUUAAGUUACUGUGUCAUCCCUAACAUUACGUAUAUGUCACUUUGGUUACUAAGUCUUGUUAACAUUACGUAUUCAUUCACUGCGGUUACUAAGUCUUUAACAUUACAUAUCCAUUUCAUUUGUUACUAUGCCAUUUGUAACAUUACGUAUACAUGUCACUUCGGUUACUAAGCUUUUUUAAUGUAACAUAUCCAUUUAAUGUAAGUUAUUAUGCCAUCUGUAACAUUAUGUAUACAUAUCGCUGUGGUUACGUAUAUAUUUUGUAACAUUAUGAUCCCUGCCACUUAAGGUACGUAUAUAUUUUGUAACAUUACGAUCCCUGCCCCUUAAAUUAAUAUGCUAUUUGUAACAUGAUGAAUUCUGACACUUAAGUUAUUGUUAGUUCAUCUGCAACAUUACGAUCCUCAUCAUACGUAAGUUACCAUGUCCUCAGUAACAUUACGUAUCUAUGUCACUGCUGAGUUACUGUAUCUUUUUCCUACAAUCUUUCUACAAUCCCUGUCAUGGUUGAGUCACUACGCUGUCUGUAACGUUCGGUCCUCAUCACUUGCGUCACCAUAUCUUCCGUAACAUUACAAUCCCUAUCACACUUGGGUUACUGUGUCAUCUGUAGCAAUGCGCACUCCUGUCCCUUCGGUUGCUAAAUCUCGUGUAACAUUUACUUCUGUCACUAUUAACUUGCUCUGCCCUUUGUAACACUGAGACCAGGUUAUGUUAGUAAUUUGUUUUGCCUUUUUCUGUAUGUUGAGACAAGGUUAUGGAAGCUGGUCAUUUGUUACGUCUAUUUCUCUUAAGUUUGAGACAAGGCUACGUUGACUAGCCUCCGUUAUGUCACGUCUUUACAUUGAGACAAGGUUAUGUGAGCGUCACUUAAUUCGUUCUUCUUUACAUCGACACAAAGUUACGUUAGCGUCACUUAAUUCGUUCUUCUUUACAUCGACACAAGGUUACGUGAGCCAGUCAUUCAUUACAUACAUUUUUCUUAAGUUCAAGACAAGGUUACAUUAGCCAGUCAUUCAUUACAUACAUUUUUCUUAAGUUCAAGACAAGGUUACAUUAGCUAGUCAUUCAUUACAUACAUUUUUCUUAAGUUCAAGACAAGGUUACGUGAGCCAGUCAUUCAUUACAUACAUUUUUCUUAAGUUCAAGACAAGGUUACAUUAGCUAGUCAUUCAUUACAUACAUUUUUCUUAAGUUCAAGACAAGGUUACAUUAGCUAGUCAUUCAUUACAUACAUUUUUCUUAAGUUCGAGACAAGGUUACAUUAGCUAGUCAUUCAUUACAUACAUUUUUCUUAAGUUCGAGACAAGGUUACAUUAGCUAGUCAUUCAUUACAUGCAUUUUUCUUAAGUUCAAAACAAGGUUACGUUAGCCAGUCAUUCAUUAAUAUAGUUUUCUUAAGUUCGAGACUAUGUUACAUUAGCCAGUCAUUCGAUAUGUAAUUUUUUGAACAUGGUAUUAUUAUUUAUCAAGUUACAUGGGUAGUUUGAGUUUCUACUUUCUUUGCAUCGAGACAAAACGAGGUUACUUCAGCUACCCCUUCGUUACAUCACAUGUACUAUCGGCUCCAAUACUCUCUUGCCCACUCAGAAACAAAAGUCAUCCAGGUGAGAAGUGGCAAUGCCUGCAAUCUCCCCCCUCCCCUACUGGGAAUAAUGACUGACAAGUGUCAUCUACACACACUCUCUCUCUCUCUCUCUCUCUCUCUCUCUCUCUCUCUCUCUCUCUUUUCACCAACAUUGUAGUGCAAGAAUGGAAUAAGCUCCCACCUUUAGUGGUCCAGUGUAACACGAUUGACUCCUUUAAAAACAAGCUCGACCGUCACUUCCUUCAAUUUAAUAUAAAGGGGGGCGCCAGGGGGUAGCAUAUUAAAAAAAGGUCCCUUUAAGAGAUUUAAAUGCCCUGCGCUGUUACGUCAUAUCACGCCAGCACACAUGGUAUUCCUCAGGGCUUGUACGCACAUAAAAUUCACAUUAGAAAUAGUCUUUUCCCUCUAAAUUUUGUCAUCCGUCAUCCCUCUAUCCACUCAUGACAGCUGGCGAAUGUAAAAUGCGCGCUCUGCUGCUCAGUUCUCACCCAGACGUUGACUGGGGAGGACGUUGAAAAUUUCGCUGUCCUACAACCCAAAAACGUCUUUACAGUAUGUCCUAUGGCUUUGAAGAAUUUUAGUAUGUUAAACAAACAAAGCAUAAAUCUUCUUUUUGUUUCACAGACUUUAGCUUUUAGUUGAUUGCUUUGAAAAAAAAUACCAUAGAAACUUUGUAUAUAUAUCUACAUUUCUCAUUUUGUAAUUUUUUUUUUUUUUUUUUUUUGGGGGGGGGGCUUUGUAAAUUUUUUUUUUUUUUAACUAAUAAUUUUCUCCACUUUUUCUCCCAUUUUCUUUUUACAUUUUUAAAAAUGUACAAAAUGAGAAAAAUUGCCAUUUAGUUGUAAUUUAUAUUGAUACAAGUAACUCUCGAUUUACGCGUUUGGUUUACGCAUUUUUUAAAUAACGCGGGGUCCAAAAUCCAAAGGAAUGUUUAAUUUACACGUUUUUUCACUUAUACGCGAUAUGGAUAUUCUCUCUCUCCACUGAAUGAAGUGAAUAUUUAUUUUUCGAUACAAACCUACCUCCUGUUUGAUUUACAUUGUUUUUGAUUUACGCGACCUCUUCAAGGACACAAUACUCAUGUAAAUCGAGAGUUACCUGUACCUUAUAAAAGACUCGAAAAACAAAAUUUUGAGAUUUUGGCUCCUAAAUAUUUUUUUUCCAUUUCAUGUGUUUUGCCAUUUGUAUUCAUUUGAUUGGCAUGAAAUCUUCACAUAUGAUUAUUUAUACCUUGUUCACUUACUGGAGAAGGAUAAGGCAUCUGGUCCCCCUUUAUAAUAAAAAGUAUUAUCACUCAAAGGUGGUGGUGGUGAUCAGUGCCGGAUUUACGUAUAAGCUAAACAAGCUAUAGCUUAGGGCCCCACUCUCUUGGGGGCCCAAAAACAAGAAGAAAAAAAAUGAAAAGAAAAAAAGGAAAAAAAAGAACUUGGUUCACAUAACUGUACAUUUUCAAAUUGGAAGAUAAACAAAUUGAAUAAAUCCUACAUACAGCAACAGUGUUUUGUGUUGUGUAGGCUCCUGUGAUGCAAGUAAUGGGGCCCCGCCUGCUAGCCUGCUCCCUAAAAUAUCACUGGUGUGUUCACGUCUAUAUAAUUAUAUAGGGCCAGGGGGCCUACAUGCUGCAAUGCAUGGACAGUAGACUGGUUGCACUUGCAUAGCAACAUGUAGCUUGCAGCUGCAGACUGCAGUGCAGCACAGUUGAAUGUAGGUCAAGCUUUUGUACUUGUUAUCUAAUAUUAAAGAGAGCUUGUAGACUGAUGAUCAGGCAGCAUAGUCUUAGGGUAUAAGUCUUAUUUUUUGCAAUAUAAUAGUGACAGUAUCAAUAUGGCCUUAUGUGGGCGAAUAGGGUGAGAUGGGGGUAUGAAUGUACAUGGGUGUGUUACCGUGUGUAACGUACAGUAACAAUGGCCAUAAUAAUUUCUAUCUUAAUUAAAAUAUAAAAGUUUGGCAUUGAAGAUGAAGACGAAGUUAAAAGAAGAAAAUGGAGUGCUUAUGCAUGGCGCCGCAAUCAGGGCUCUCACUUUCAAGGUAAUUACCUAAGUUUAAUGUAGUUUAGGUAGUUUUAAGGUAAUGAUAUAUUUAAUGUAAUUCUGAUGUAACAGCUAUAAUGGAAUAAUAAUUAUGGUUCUGACUCCCCAUUUAAUUUAUAGGCACGCCGCUUGUGACUCCCGCCUCCUGCAUCAUGAGGCGUAUUACAGCACACAACAAUGGCAGCCACGCGUGGGUAACAGAAGGAGUUGAGUGACAUCCGUAAGUCAGGCUGGGCUGGCAUUAAGUCGUUUCGUGACAUCCAGGUGGUUGUGGAAGAGAGCAACACCUCACCUGGCAGGGACUCAUUGUGCUGCUGAGUGUUACUAACCACACCAAACACUGAGCCUAAAAUGGAUAUCAAAAGAUAUAAGAAAAGUGGAGCUCAAAAGAGGGAGAAGCAGAAAACUGAAGAAGAGCUUAGCAAGUUACCAAAAUUAGAUAGCUUCUUCACCAAGGCAGAUAAAGGGCCUGAUGAACCGAGAGCCUCUACCACAGCGAUUCAGUCAUGUGAUAGUCCCAUUCCUGAUACAGAACUUGGUACAUCUAGUUCUAUAGAAUCUGCUUCAAUGACUGAAGCAAGAAAUAUUAAGAUUGACCGACCAGAGGGUAGUAUAAGCACAGAAAAUUCAAAAUCAAAAUACAAGCAGAAUGGUGAUGGGCUUUGGGGUGAUUUAAGUAAAGAUGACAUUGUAUACUGGGUAGAAAAAGGUCUGUCAGAGUGUUAGCACUCAGAUGGUUCAUUUGAAAAGUCUAGAGUCUAAGUCUUUUUGCAAACCAAGACAGAUAUUGUUCAAAGAGCUUGUUCUAUCCCAAACAGGCUAAUGGUGAAAAAUACUGUAGAGAAUAGUUAGUAUAUUCACCAGAAACUGGUCGUGUAUACUGUUUUGUGUGCAAACACUUUUCAAAUUCUUCCACACCAUUGUCAUCAGAUGGAUUUUCUGACUGGCGCAACACCCAUUUAGUUAAAAGUCAUGAAAACUCUGGAGACCAAGAAGAGCUUCAGUAGCAUAUCUUACAAGAAAACGUGGCUCAACAACUGACUGCCAACUAGCAGAACAGAUACAAAAUGAACAGCAUUACUGGAAACAUGUUCUUGAACGAGUUGUUGCAGUCAUCAUUACGCUGGCAGGGCGUGGUUUACCUUUCAGAGGAGAUGAGGAAAUAUUUGGCAAUAUUUGGUUCUCCCCACAAUGGCAAUUACCUUGGAUUACUUGAACUUGUUGCAAAAUCUGAUCCUUUUCUAGCAAACCAUAAAAGAAUUCGGAAAUAAAGGAUCAGGUGUCACAUCCUCUCUUUCUAAAACAAUAUGUGAUGAAUUUAUCCAUAUGGUGGCAUAUAAAGUAAGAGAAUCAAUUUUGGAUGAUUUAAAAACUGCAGAGUACUUAAGUUUAUCUGUAGAUUCCACUCCAGACCUGUCCCAUGUUGACCAGCUCACAGUUAUUGUAAGGUAUGUUUCACCCUCCUAGAGAUGGGUAGCCAUACAGGGGAAAGUAUGGCUAAGAUGGUGCAUGACUACCUUACAAAAGAAUGCAAAAUAGAUUUCAAUAAGUGUCAAGGCCAGUCAUAUGAUAAUGCUGCCAAUAUGUCUGGCAAAUACAAGGGGAUGCAAGAUAUAAUAUUGAAAAUCAAUAAGUAUGCAAUGUGCAGGUCAUUCCUUGAAUCUUGUUGGUAGAGGUGCAGUUGACUUGCUUAGAUGCAGUAAUUUUUUUUGGAAUUGUUCAAGAAUAUAUAGAUGGGCAGUGCUGUUGUCUUCUUCAAAGAUGAUUCAAAAGUUCCAGAGUCUUUGUCAAAGACUAGAUGGGAAGCUCAUUCAAGGGCCACAAGUGCAGUCCUUGACAGUUAUGAUGAAAUAAUUUCUGCAUUGCAUGAGCUUCAUAUUGAUACCAGAGAGAAGGAUGAAACAAGAAAUCAAGCCAUAAACAUUUUGAAUAAAAUGGAGGAACUUGAAUUUAUGGUAAUGUUAUAUUUGUGGAGUUAUUUGCUGGAUGAAUUCCACAAGACUCGUCAGUCACUGCAAGACCCCAAAAUUAGCCUAGAUGUAUGCAGGAAAUUGUAUGCUUCACUGUUAGAUUUUGUUAAAGGUUCAAGAGAUCUUUUUGAUAAUUUUGAAGAACAGGCAAAGGAAAAAUUGCCUGAUGUUGAUUACAAGAAAAGCAGAUCUAGAAAGGUGUACAGGUAAAGAUGAAGAUGAUGCUUUUGAGAACCUAGAGCCAAGAGACAGAUUUAAAAUCAAAGCAUUUAUUCCUGUGAUGGAUGCAUUAGAAUAAAAUCUGGCAUGAAGGGCUUCAGUAUACAAUGAUGCUGCAAAACAAAUUUUAUUCCUUACAAAAUUAGAUGCUACAGAAGAAGAGAUUUGUGAAGGAGUUCGUGCUUUAAGCCAAACAUAUCCUGAAGAUGUGGACAUGAACUUUGUUGGAGAACUAAAGCAUUUCCAUCAGUAUGUUAGACAGUCAAAGCCAUGAGCACGAUAGUAUGACACAUCAGGGUCUGUACCAAGUAAUAUUUAAAGACCAUGUCCAAUCAGCAUUCCCUAAUAUAGAAGCAAUUCUGAGAAUCUUCCUUAGUAUGAUGAUUACAAAUUGCAAUGGAGAAAGAUCCUUUUCUCAGUUGAAGAGGAUAAAAAAUGAAUUUCAACCAACAAUAUCUCAAGAUAAUUAUAUUCCCUCAGCCUCAUAUGCAUAGAAAAUGACAAGCUACGCAGUUUAUCAUUUGAUGAUAUCAUUAGUGACUUUGCUGUGGCAAAGGCUAGAAAGAAACUAUUCUAAUUUGGUUUGGAUCAUUUUUGUGUACUGUUUCAGUCUGUUUGUAUACACAGUGUCAGUGUGCAAUGAAUCAUGAUAAAAGAUACAGUUCAAUGGGCCGGCUAUUGGGUAGAUCAUAGAUGCAUUGAUAUAAUUAGUCCUGUUAUUUAUUUAUUUUUAUUUCUUAUAUUCAAUCAUGUAUAGUAUUGGUAUUACAUGUAUUUACGAAUGUGACAUAAUUAUUAGAAAUACCGUCUUAAACACUCACUAAGUGUUACAGGAUACAAAGGUCUGCUGCCCCAUCCAAUUUAAAUCAUGCACUACUAUGGUGAUUGUGAUAUUAUAUAAAUGCAUUGUAUUAACCCUUUCAGUGCUAUGUGCGUCUGUGGACGGUUCACUGCUAUGAACAUCCGGACCGUGACCACUCCUGCUGCAGCCAGAGGACUUCUAGUGACCUGAGCGAGGGCAUCGGCUCACCUCGCUCCCUCCCGCAUGCUUCGUCUACCCAGCCUGCAGCACACAAGCGUCGGAGGAGCUACGUGAUCUACAGUGACUCAGAUGAAGCUUCUGAUUUGAGAGAGGGCGUCGACUCACCUUGCUGCCUCCCACACACUUCAUCUCCCCAACCUGCAGCUAACAAUCAUCGAAGGAUCUAUAGUGACUCAGAUGAAACUUCUUAUAUGAGCAGGGAGGAAGACAGUGAUAGUGGUAGUGAUGAAAGCAGUGUCAUUCCUGAUUUGAGGGAGGGCAUCGACUCACUUCACCCCCUCCCACACUCUUCGUCCACCCAGCCUGCAGCUCACUAUAGUCUGUUCACUUAAGCUAGAUUCUUGGCUCCUAGGCAGGUUCGUAAACUUGCAGCUGAUUGGCUGCUCCGCUCUCCCGCUAACACUCAUGUCGGACCACAUCUUGCAUGCUCGAGUGAGGCAUGUUUCU
This is an RNA transcript of Eriocheir sinensis (Chinese mitten crab), 12148 nucleotides long. It is a transcript of the gene named translation initiation factor IF-2-like, with no coding region annotated. The record is from RefSeq and is a predicted model, not a curated record. The transcript is spliced from 5 exons. Lineage: Eukaryota; Metazoa; Arthropoda; Malacostraca; Decapoda; Varunidae.